CUUUUCAAGAAAAUUGCAUUUUAAGGUGAUGCUCUUCAUUACUAGAAUCGGGGAAGAAAAAAGGAGCUUGGAUUUACUUCACUCAGCAGUCCAGCUUCAAAGACUCACAAGGCAGGGAAAAAUCCACUUGACUGGCAGUCUGGCAUAAAGGGAAGAUAUUAAAGAAAAUUUCGGGCAGUCUUGCCGUGGAAGAGGAGUGUGCUCUGCUAGAGAAAUAAAGGCUCUACAGCCAUCA
RNAcentral lists this long non-coding RNA (235 nucleotides) under Phasianus colchicus (ring-necked pheasant). RNAcentral describes it as "lncRNA (ENSPCLG00000004218.1)". The record is from RNAcentral. Lineage: Eukaryota; Metazoa; Chordata; Aves; Galliformes; Phasianidae.